AGUGAACGCUGGCGGUAGGCCUAACACAUGCAAGUCGAACGGCAGCACAGUAAGAGCUUGCUCUUACGGGUGGCGAGUGGCGGACGGGUGAGGAAUACAUCGGAAUCUACUUUUUCGUGGGGGAUAACGUAGGGAAACUUACGCUAAUACCGCAUACGACCUACGGGUGAAAGCAGGGGAUCUUCGGACCUUGCGCGAUUGAAUGAGCCGAUGUCGGAUUAGCUAGUUGGCGGGGUAAAGGCCCACCAAGGCGACGAUCCGUAGCUGGUCUGAGAGGAUGAUCAGCCACACUGGAACUGAGACACGGUCCAGACUCCUACGGGAGGCAGCAGUGGGGAAUAUUGGACAAUGGGCGCAAGCCUGAUCCAGCCAUACCGCGUGGGUGAAGAAGGCCUUCGGGUUGUAAAGCCCUUUUGUUGGGUAAGAAAAGCAGCAGGUUAAUACCCCGCUGUUCUGACGGUACCCAAAGAGUAAGCACCGGCUAACUUCGUG
RNAcentral lists this ribosomal RNA (492 nucleotides) under uncultured bacterium. Its description in RNAcentral is "partial 16S ribosomal RNA". It matches the Rfam family "Bacterial small subunit ribosomal RNA", at positions 29 to 507 of the family's 1533-position model. The record is from RNAcentral.